Molecule: ribosomal RNA, 400 nt
Filed under: uncultured bacterium
Lineage: Bacteria
Description: bacterial SSU rRNA
Rfam family: Bacterial small subunit ribosomal RNA
Source: RNAcentral
UGGGGAAUAUUAGACAAUGGGGGCAACCCUGAUCUAGCAAUGCCGCGUGAAUGAAGAAGGCCUUAGGGUUGUAAAGUUCUUUCGCCUGUGAAGAUGAUGACUGUAGCAGGAUAAGAAGCACCGGCUAACUCCGUGCCAGCAGCCGCGGUAAUACGGAGGGUGCAAGCGUUGUUCGGAAUUACUGGGCGUAAAGGGCGCGUAGGCGGUCUUUUAAGUUAGGCGUGAAAGCCCCAGGCUCAACCUGGGAACUGCGCUUAAUACUGAAAGACUUGAGUGCGAGAGGGGAAAGUGGAAUUCCUAGUGUAGAGGUGAAAUUCGUAGAUAUUAGGAAGAACACCGGUGGCGAAGGCGACUUUCUGGCUCGCAACUGACGCUGAGGCGCGAAAGCGUGGGGAGCAAA